Molecule: non-coding RNA, 115 nt
Filed under: bovine gut metagenome
Description: FMN riboswitch (RFN element)
Rfam family: FMN riboswitch aptamer (RFN element)
About the family: The RFN element is a highly conserved domain that is found frequently in the 5'-untranslated regions of prokaryotic mRNAs that encode for flavin mononucleotide (FMN) biosynthesis and transport proteins. This element is a metabolite-dependent riboswitch that directly binds FMN in the absence of proteins.
Source: RNAcentral
UGUCUUCGGGGCGGGGUGCAAGUCCCCACCGGUGGUAAAGCCCACGAGCAAGGUUUUUCCUUCGCUGAAUUGGUGAGAUUCCAAUGCCGACGGUAUAGUCCGGAUGAAAGAAGAU